This 75-nucleotide transfer RNA is filed under the name Pseudomonadota bacterium. RNAcentral describes it as "tRNA-Gly". It matches the Rfam family "tRNA". Rfam says of the family: Transfer RNA (tRNA) molecules are approximately 80 nucleotides in length. Their secondary structure includes four short double-helical elements and three loops (D, anti-codon, and T loops). RNAcentral also lists the same sequence under 5 other names. The record is from RNAcentral. Lineage: Bacteria; Pseudomonadati; Pseudomonadota.
GCGGGAGUAACUCAGUGGUAGAGUGCCACCUUGCCAAGGUGGACGUCGAGGGUUCAAAUCCCUUCUCCCGCUCCA